This 3590-nucleotide long non-coding RNA is filed under the name Aquilegia coerulea. RNAcentral's name for it is "long non-coding RNA (ACOE_LNC001370)". Lineage: Eukaryota; Viridiplantae; Streptophyta; Magnoliopsida; Ranunculales; Ranunculaceae. The record is from RNAcentral.
UUUAUUAGAAUAGAGAAAGAAUACAAGCCUGAUCAGCCUGCAUUAAGCAGCGUCAGGUAGGAGAAAGUCCAGUUAAGGAUAGAAACAAAAUUAAGUCCUAUUACUAGUAAUGGUGUCAUCCCAGUAAUCCAGAAAGUCCUUAAAGUUGUGUGCUGCUCUCCCUUUCCAAAUCCCCAACCAGUACCAAAUCGUAGCUUUCAUUCUUGUGCAGAUACCGUCAAUGGUGAAAGCUUUAUCCUUAAAGACCUUGUUGUUCCUAACACACCAGAGAGUCCAUAUUGUAGCGUAGGGUAGUAACUCCCAUGCUCUUCCACCUAUGGCAUGGUUGGUUCGCUUUGGCCAAUCUGAUAGUGCUUCGGUUAUAGUCAGUGACUGUAGGAUAACAGCCAGUCCUGUAGGAGAACAUAAGCUAAACUACAUAAGAUACUUUUGUAACUUGUCUAGGUAUUAGCAAGUGAAGUUACCUAUGAAUUAUAUUACAACAUAUGUGCCAUAUUUCUUCUUUCCCAAACCCUAAUACCCUAUACUAUCAAACAUAGCAUAACAAUAACAAAUCAAUACCCAACAUUUCUUGUCUUAGUCUUGAUUCAUUUCAUCUUGAUCAGUCUUCCGUUCGAUAAAAUUCCAACUAAACUCUCCCCGUGCUACACUAUAUAACUUGGAAGGAGUCAACUGUGACAUGAUUUAAAUAGAGCCAAACUCCAGAAGAACUGUAACCCCACAGCAUGUGAUCGAUCCCCCCAACCCCCUCUACAGCAUUAUACUGACUAGGGUACCAUCAGAGUUGAAACCUAGCUCACGUUGGGGUCAGGCACUUCGAGGACACUUCUAGUAUUUGCUAAUCUGAAUUUGGAAGGGGGUUGGGUAGCCUGAAUUGAGUGCAGGUCAUUACAUACCUUUGAUGCAAUCUUAGAAGUAUCUUACCCAGAGCUUCCCUGUUAUGUAAAUUUUUCAGUAGGUCCCCAUACAAAAAAUUUUAUAUGUGUAGCCAACUUGUACGUGGGUGUGUACACCCAAUCAUAUGAUGUCACGUGUCUAUAAAAUGGUUGAAAAACUGAUCAAGCCCACUAGGGUUAACUAAACCCAUACUAGGUUAUAUUAUUAUUGCCACAUGGCAUUUUGUGAUUGGGUGUACACACCCACAUACAAGUAAGCUACACAUAUAAAAUUCUCUGGGUCCCCAUCUACUCGAAUCUGAUCUCAGAAUUUCCAUUGAGAGCCAAUGUAUAGUGGAAGCUGUGAUUUUUCGUAGUGCUCUACCCAUUGAAGGAUUCAAAAUCCAGAUUGCAGAGCAUCCCUUGCAUUGGCUACAGUUUACAUGUAUCGUCGUACAAAUGGGAGGUGCAUAUAACACCAAGAGGAUGAAGGGGAGGGGAUAGGAAGGAGGAGUACCCCUUCUCAUUUCCCACAGGGUCUAAUCAAACAUGUUACCACUCCAAAAAAUAGUAUUUCAUCGCCACUCAUAAUUCUAGACUAGCUAUCCUUCAAACUUUAUAUCAGAAGAAAAUAAUCUUGCAGCUUAACACAAAAUCGUUGACAUAACAGAGUACUCAUACUUGUGUUAUACAUGCACUUACAUCCUAUGCUAAUAUGCAUAAACAAUCAUAAAAAAGACUUUUGUCCGCAACCGCAUUAAACUCACUGCCCAGGAACCCUAACAAUAACCUUUUAGUGUUUGAGAAAUGAGAAUGGGGGAAUCCAAAGAAAUAGAUAACUUAUGUUAUAUUGCAUACAAUCAGUAUACCAACUAUACAAAUCACAAAACAAAUAUUAGAGUUAAUGCAGUUUAGGGGUGUGGUCAUUUUCUAGUAUAAAUCUCGAUUUAAAGUCAAGGACUGAAUUGAAAGUCGCAGUUGAUAAAAUUUUCUUGGUUUGGUAUAAGGCAAAUGGGACUCAAUCAGAUAUCUCGGUCCAAAUUAUUUUACCUCGAUUCAAAUUUUUACUUCAAUCGAUGAUUUAAUCAUCAUGGAGUUUAUCAUACCUGAACAUUAAACUCUCAACUAACUCUUUUAAAUACUAUAAAUAGAGUUGUGGCCUUGUGGGUUCUAUAAAUGCCCAUUUUACCUCUAGGCCAUGGGAUAAUAGAAAAUGUAUAUAUACUGUAUCUUUUUUUGAGCAUAGGGAACCAAACAAGAAUAUUCCCUUGAGGAUAUUGAGUAUCAGUGUUGUUCAUUCACUUCAAUCCACCAAGUCGCGACAUUGGAUUAAUGAUUAUUAUUCGGCUAGGUAAAUCCGACUGAUUUGUUCUACUGUUUAGGUCAUCUUGUACAAUUUGGUGUAGGUGUCUUGCUUUCAAGUUGCUAUUGGAUUAGGGCCCCUGGUCUUGUUAAUAGGAAGAGCUUUGUUACCUACUCCCUGAGUUUUGUUGUCAUUCCUGCCAAUUGAUCUCCUUGUACUUGCUUGCUACUCCUCACUUAGUAAAUGACCAUCUCUUAGGUAAUAAUUCAUGUCACAUUUUCUUUACGAGGUGUGGUUUUUAUUGUUUUAGGUUGGUGGUCUCUCUUGUUCAACUUCUUAAUUACCUCAUAUUCUAUUCGUCCUAAUUAUAUCAAUCCUAUUUUGUAGAGAGCUUCGUAACAGAUUUGGUAGGGUUGGGAGGAGUAUUGUUUUAACUGUUUCGACUUUCGAGUAAUUUUGGAGACUUUGAAAGUCUACUGCUCCAUUUUUAGCUUGUUGCAAUGUUUUUUUUCCCACACUCCAACCACUUGAUUUAGCAAUCUUUUCUUUGCUUCAUGUCAAAUUCGGGUGUGCUUCUUGUGUGAUUUAUUUCUUAGUGGUUUGCUCAGAGCUUUAGUGAAGCUCUUGAUGCUUCAAGGGGGUUGGGGAGUAUGUGUAAAUAGUAAUGCUUGUAUUGUAGCCUAUAGGUUUCUAUGUUGUAGCAGUUGUUGGCUCCUCCCUCUAAUGACAACUCUUAGAAAGGUCUGUCAUAAGGUUUGCCUUAACCCCAUAAAAACUUUUCAUAAAAAAGAAAAUGGUAGGUGACUAGGUGAGAUACCAAAAUUUCGAUGACAUUUUUCAUUUUUUUUUUUUUUUAGCUGAUGGUAAGACACAUUGUGCAACCCCUAGUAGGACAGUAGAACUAAUCCAAAAAGUAGUCUUGGUUUGAUCCCAAGAACAGCCAUCACUAUCCACUACAUACCUGAAUUUCCCAAUUUGAUCCCCUGCUCCUCCCAAAAUUGGGCUAUAAAAAUAGUUUUGUUUCUUGAGCAUAUUAGCAAAUAGUACUACCUAAAUUUCAAUCUAUUUUUUUUUUGGUUGGCAAGCAAGGUUGUGGGGACCCCUACCCCUUUUAAAUUACGUGUAAAAACUUAUAUCAACAAUCCGUUGUUGACGUGUUUCGAACCCACGACCUCUCCACUUUGUGAGAGGGGUGCUACCAUUAAGCCACAGGCUCAUUCGCGACAAACCUAAUCAUGAAUGAAUAAAGAAAAUGUGGGCAUUGCACAGCCUUCAACACAAUUAUGUUUCAUAAGACAUCAAAUUCCAGGCAAGAUUAAGACAUAUAUUUGCCCAUUGCUUCAAAAAUUUAGGCUGGUCUUUCAUUAAUGGCGAAACCAGGUUAAGGUUAAGUCUAUCUCUAAAUUUCUCAU